AGAGUUUGAUCCUGGCUCAGGAUGAACGCUGGCGGUAUGCCUAACACAUGCAAGUCGAACGAAGCCUUCGGGCUUAGUGGCGGACGGGGGAGUAACGCGUGAGAAUCUGCCUUCAGGACGGGGACAACAGUUGGAAACGACUGCUAAUACCCGAUAUGCCGAGAGGUGAAAUGUUUUUUCGCCUGAAGAUGAGCUCGCGUCUGAUUAGCUAGUUGGUGGGGUAAGAGCCUACCAAGGCGACGAUCAGUAGCUGGUCUGAGAGGAUGAGCAGCCACACUGGGACUGAGACACGGCCCAGACUCCUACGGGAGGCAGCAGUGGGGAAUUUUCCGCAAUGGGCGAAAGCCUGACGGAGCAAUACCGCGUGAGGGAGGAAGGUCUUUGGAUUGUAAACCUCUUUUCUCAAGGAAGAAUAAAUGACGGUACUUAAUAUAAGCAUCGGCUAACUCCGUGCCAGCAGCCGCGGUAAUACGGAGGAUGCAAGCGUUAUCCGGAAUCAUUGGGCGUAAAGAGUCCGUAGGUGGCACAUCAAGUCUGCUUUCAAAGACCGAAGCUCAACUUCGGAAAGGGAGUAGAAACUGAAGAGCUAGAGUAUAGUAGGGGUAGAGGGAAUUCCUAGUGUAGCGGUGAAAUGCGUAGAGAUUAGGAAGAACACCAGUGGCGAAGGCGCUCUACUGGGCAUAUACUGACACUGAGGGACGAAAGCUAGGGUAGCGAAAGGGAUUAGAUACCCCUGUAGUCCUAGCGGUAAACGAUGGAUACUAGGCGUAGUGCUGUAAAAGGGACUGUGCCGAAGCUAACGCGUUAAGUAUCCCGCCUGGGGAGUACGCACGCAAGUGUGAAACUCAAAGGAAUUGACGGGGGCCCGCACAAGCGGUGGAGUAUGUGGUUUAAUUCGAUGCAACGCGAAGAACCUUACCAAGACUUGACAUCCCGCGAAUCUUGCAGAGAUGCGAGAGUGCCUUCGGGAGCGCGGAGACAGGUGGUGCAUGGCUGUCGUCAGCUCGUGUCGUGAGAUGUUGGGUUAAGUCCCGCAAUGAGCUCAACCCUCGUCCUUAGUUGCCAGCAUUAAGUUGGGCACUCUAGGGAGACUGCCGGGGACAACUCGGAGGAAGGUGGGGAGGACGUCAAGUCAGCAUGCCCCUUACGUCUUGGGCUACACACGUACUACAAUGGUUGGGACAAAGGGGUGCGAAACCGCGAGGUGGAGCGAAUCUCAUCAAACCCAGCCACAGUUCAGAUUGCAGGCUGAAACUCGCCUGCAUGAAGGAGGAAUCGCUAGUAAUCGCAGGUCAGCAUACUGCGGUGAAUCCGUUCCCGGGCCUUGUACACACCGCCCGUCACACCAUGGAAGUUGGUCACGCCCGAAGUCGUUAUUCUAACCCAAGUGGAAGGAGACGCCGAAGGUGGGACUAGUGACUGGGGUGAAGUCGUAACAAG
Molecule: ribosomal RNA, 1440 nt
Filed under: uncultured prokaryote
Description: partial 16S ribosomal RNA
Rfam family: Bacterial small subunit ribosomal RNA
Source: RNAcentral